Molecule: ribosomal RNA, 254 nt
Filed under: uncultured bacterium
Lineage: Bacteria
Description: partial 16S ribosomal RNA
Rfam family: Bacterial small subunit ribosomal RNA
Source: RNAcentral
UACAGAGGGUGCGAGCGUUAAUCGGAAUUACUGGGCGUAAAGCGCAUGUAGGCGGAUAUCUAAGUCGGGUGUGAAAUCCCUGGGCUCAACCUAGGAAUUGCAUUCGAUACUGGAUGUCUUAGAGUAUGGUAGAGGAAAGUGGAAUUCCCGGUGUAGCGGUGAAAUGCAUAGAUAUCGGGAGGAACACCAGUGGCGAAGGCGGCUUUCUGGACCAAUACUGACGCUGAAGUGCGAAAGCGUGGGGAGCAAACAGG